UGCCCUAUCAACUUUCGAUGGUAGGAUAGUGGCCUACCAUGGUGGCAACGGGUAACGGGGAAUUAGGGUUCGAUUCCGGAGAGGGAGCCUGAGAAACGGCUACCACAUCCAAGGAAGGCAGCAGGCGCGCAAAUUACCCAAUCCCGAUACGGGGAGGUAGUGACAAUAAAUACUGAUACGGGGCUCUUUUGGGUCUCGUAAUUGGAAUGAGAACAAUUUAAAUCCCUAACGAUAUC
Molecule: ribosomal RNA, 236 nt
Filed under: uncultured Penicillium
Lineage: Eukaryota; Fungi; Ascomycota; Eurotiomycetes; Eurotiales; Aspergillaceae
Description: partial 18S ribosomal RNA
Rfam family: Eukaryotic small subunit ribosomal RNA
Source: RNAcentral